UUCGUCAUACUGAAGACCACGGUUCGGUGACACAUAAAGGCAUUCUAAGUGACUCGGCCGUGAUAUUGCUGAGACAGAUAUAGUCAGCGGCGUAAAACAAUAUUCACAACCUCCUUAAGUUCUCAAAAUCAUAUCAUGUCCACAGGGCCACUACCAGAGUGAGUGAUUAGACCUGACCCUCCACCAGGCUGGUCAGGACUACUCCCGUGGAGAAAGCCUCGAGAUCUCGAGGAGCACAGUUACAGGAAUGAGAUUCAUUCAGCAGACGGUCGCGUUUGUCUUCGUGUGGCUAUGUGCCCGGAUGUGUGACGGAGCCUCUCUUUCAUCGGGAGGGCCACAUGGCAUCCAGGCAGCAAUCCGACAUCACGACACAGCGUUGUUGCUACAGCUACUUCAACACUUCCGUUCAGCCGCCAGUGACGACAAACGCGAUGGUGCAACGGCCUUCUGCCAGACGGACGAGUGUGUGAAGAUGAUGGAAGAGUACAACACCUACCUCCUCAACAAUGGCGGAGGGACAUUCUCUGGAAGGUGGGGUUAGUUGCCGUGGCAUCUGACACCUGGGACCAGUCACUGAAUAAAAUCUCUGAUUCAAAAGACGAGGAAAUGACUUGUCCUAAACCAUAGACAACACUGGAUGACCCAAUAUUGAAAUUGGGCUGAUACCUUUAUGCUUAUGUUCAAAGUGUCUUCGUUUGCUUUUGUCGUCUCAGAACCAAAGUGAAUACACUAUUUCUGUAACGAAUACAAGAAACAUGUUUUCAAAGUCGACAGUCGUACGUGAUACGAACUGUAUGUGUCGGGGUCUGGCGGUACAGACAAAAUAAUAUAACGACUUCUGUGCCUUCUGUGGGUAGCGGCAUCUCACGACAAUACUCGAUUGAAGUCCAAAGUUUGGUUCUGACGGACACUAUCUGCAUGUUAGUAUCGACAUGUGCCCUUGUGUAAUACAAUAGCCAUUAGCCAGUAAUAACGUGGCGCCUCCUUACAAGGUGGGAGAAACGAGUUACCUUCCUUGAAAUUCAUGUCACCACCCAGUGCCUUUUGUGCGUUUUCUGGUAUGGUUUGGAAGUGAGCGACUGAGCAUAAGAAAAGAGAACAAAGCAUUUCUUUUCCUUCAUAUAACCUUGGUUCGUAAACAAGCGAAACACGAAGGAAGCUGCAAAACAGCCAGAUAUUUAUAGGACAUCCGGGUGGUCACUCGUAUGCACUGAGACACGACUUUGGACACCUGGUCACGCCAAUUUGUGAAACUUCAGUGCCCGAAAGCAAUUGCUUUUACAUUAUGACCCACGCAGAAUCAGUUGAACAUUAUAUGCAGGUGUAUGACUUAAUAUAAAUUCCCGGGCGAAAGAAAGUAUACACUUGAAAAUUGAAAUUGACCAAAUAAUUACAAACGUUAUCAAGCCGUUACUAGGCUGAAAACAGCAGCAAAAAUACUGCAAAAUAGAGGUUCAACCCAUAACUAUCGUAUCUGUGUCAAAUACAUCACCAUCGAAUAAUCAUUUCGUGUUUGUUUCUUUUUUAGCCAGCAUCAAACGUGGCGUAUACUUUCUGUCGUCCUGCACUUUACAUUCAUUCUGUUUCAAACAUGAAUAUAUCUGCGAAAAUCCGGGUUAGAACUGGUCUUCAGCAACCCAUGCUUGUCGUAAAAGGCGACUAAAGGGAUCUGGUGGUCAGACUCGCUGACUUGGUUGAUGCAUGUCAGCGUAUCCCA
RNAcentral lists this long non-coding RNA (1717 nucleotides) under Haliotis rufescens (red abalone). RNAcentral describes it as "uncharacterized LOC124134718". The record is from RNAcentral. Lineage: Eukaryota; Metazoa; Mollusca; Gastropoda; Lepetellida; Haliotidae.